This 471-nucleotide unclassified non-coding RNA is filed under the name Magallana ariakensis (Suminoe oyster). Its description in RNAcentral is "ITS1-type Cari-AK04_A2". Lineage: Eukaryota; Metazoa; Mollusca; Bivalvia; Ostreida; Ostreidae. The record is from RNAcentral.
ACAAAAAGCAAAUCGGGCUCGUUGGCAGAGCACCGAGGCAAGGGCAACGAAAACACAGCCGAGGGGUUGCUGCACAAAACAAAUGCCGGAUCGACCUCGAACGCCGAGCGACCAGGUCGCUAGGCCGAGGGAUACGGCGACUCGCUGGGUUUUGAUAAAACCCAAGCGCCUUGGGCCGUCGAAGCCUCCUCGUGGGGCUACGUCGCCUUAAGUACAGACGAGCUCGACCGCGGCCCCGGGCUACCGGAACGGUGGGUCGCAAAACACUAUAGCACUCGGCAUCGUCGGGAGGUUGGCCUCGACGUUAUAAGCACCCGAGUAUGUACUUUCUCACGUAUACCGAUAGUUUUUACACAAAACCCGGGGCGGAGUCGGGAGGCAGGCAAGUCCUCCCCCUCUGCUUUUUUCGGGGGUCGGCCGGCGUACCUCGUUGCGCGCCGCGACCGACCGAAUUGGCAUCUUACUUUUUGA